UUGGAGGGCAAGUCUGGUGCCAGCAGCCGCGGUAAUUCCAGCUCCAAUAGCGUAUAUUAAAGUUGUUGCAGUUAAAAAGCUCGUAGUUGAAUUUCGGGGUCAGCAGGUUGGUCGUGCCACUGGUAUGCACUGGCUUCGCUGAUUCCUCCUUCUUGAAGAACUGUAAUGUCAUUAAUUUGGUGUUGCAGGGAAACAGGACUGUUACUUUGAAAAAAUUAGAGUGUUUAAAGCAGGCUUAACGCUUGAAUACAUUAGCAUGGAAUAAUGAAAUAGGACGUUUGAUCCUAUUUUGUUGGUUUCUAGGAUUGACGUAAUGAUUAAUAGGGAUAGUUGGGGGCAUUAGUAUUCAAUUGUCAGAGGUGAAAUUCUUGGAUUUAUUGAAGACUAACUACUGCGAAAGCAUUUGCCAAGGAUGUUUUCAUUAAUCAAGAACGAAAGUUAGGGGAUCGAAGACGAUCAGAUACCGUCGUAGUCUUAACCAUAAACUAUGCCGACUAGGGAUCGGAUGAUGUUAAUUUUUUAAUGACUCAUUCGGCGCCUUACGAAAC
Molecule: ribosomal RNA, 548 nt
Filed under: uncultured Glomeromycotina
Lineage: Eukaryota; Fungi; Glomeromycota
Description: SSU rRNA
Rfam family: Eukaryotic small subunit ribosomal RNA
Source: RNAcentral